GCCUCCUUAGCUCAGCGGCCAGAGCGCUCGCCUUGUAAGCGAGUGGUCGAGGGUUCGACUCCCUCAGGAGGCU
This is a transfer RNA of Tessaracoccus sp., 73 nucleotides long. It matches the Rfam family "tRNA". Rfam says of the family: Transfer RNA (tRNA) molecules are approximately 80 nucleotides in length. Their secondary structure includes four short double-helical elements and three loops (D, anti-codon, and T loops). NCBI's taxonomy places the organism in Bacteria, Bacillati, Actinomycetota, Actinomycetes, Propionibacteriales, Propionibacteriaceae. The record is from Rfam.